UACGGGGGGGGCAAGCGUUGUUCGGAAUUACUGGGCGUAAAGGGCUCGUAGGUGGCCGACUAAGUCGGACGUGAAAUCCCUCGGCUUAACCGGGGAACUGCGUCCGAUACUGGAUGGCUUGAGUUUGGGAGAGGGACGCGGAAUUCCAGGUGUAGCGGUGAAAUGCGUAGAUAUCUGGAGGAACACCGGUGGCGAAGGCGGCGUCCUGGACCAAUACUGACACUGAUGAGCGAAAGCCAGGGGAGCAAACGGG
Molecule: ribosomal RNA, 253 nt
Filed under: uncultured bacterium
Lineage: Bacteria
Description: partial 16S ribosomal RNA
Rfam family: Bacterial small subunit ribosomal RNA
Source: RNAcentral